ACCUGGGAUUCAAAUGGCCUGGCAGGAAGUGCUCUAGCAGAGGGACUCUGGCCUUGCAAGAGUCCCUAUUUCCCCCUUUUUUUUUGCUUUUCACACAGUAAAACCCUGCUUUACUUCCCUUUGAGUCGUCUGUGAGCCUAAAUUUUUGUGGCUGUGGGAAGGACAAGAACCCCAUCUUUAGCUGAAAUAAGGAAAAGUUCCGCAACAUUUUUGGCACACACCCUGGGGGCUCCGGAAGUGAAAGUUCCCAGGAGAUGAAGACAUUGAAACUGCCAUCAUAAAAUUAAUAAAAGGUUCAAGAUUAGAAUUAUGGUAUUGGCCUGGAUUUUGUUAAGACAGAGACAUAGGAUUAUGUUGGCUCGGAGAAUGAUACCUCAAAGGCUGGUGCUGAGAGUUCUUAGAAGCUGCUUCAGAAUCAAGGUUUAACCGUGUUUCUCCCCUUCCCUUACAACCCUAAGCUCAGGGAGGGACUCUUUGGAUUUCCUUAUCUGAUGAAGAAAGCUUUCUAAAAGAAAUUCUGUGGUCUUAAUCCCCCUCCCUAAGGAUCUCUCCAGAGAUCAACCACUGGAGAAAAGAUACUAGGAGUCAUCACCACAUCUAGACAGAGUGCUGCUCCAAGAGAUUAACUGAGGGAUUUCAUCUGCAUAAUAAGUCAACCUUUUUUCCGGGCGCAAUGGCUCACGCCUGUAAUCCUAGCACUUUCG
This 704-nucleotide long non-coding RNA is filed under the name Homo sapiens (human). Its description in RNAcentral is "HSALNT0369083". Lineage: Eukaryota; Metazoa; Chordata; Mammalia; Primates; Hominidae. The record is from RNAcentral.